UUGUAUAUUUUUUUUGGAGCUUAUGUAUAAUUCUAAACUUGUAUUAUAACUUCACUCGUUGUACAUGUCACAAUUCUUUGGAUGACUUGUGCUUUAAAUUCAUGUCUUCAAAUCAUUUGGCUUCCCUUAUGUAGUGUUUUAGAGACUUGGCCAAACUUGAGACAUGUUGUAAUUAUGGUUAAAUUGGAAACUUUGGUUGAAUAGAAAUUGGCUUUCAAGAUUUA
This 224-nucleotide long non-coding RNA is filed under the name Lathyrus oleraceus (garden pea). RNAcentral describes it as "Pisum sativum (pea) long non-coding RNA (PSAT_LNC027424)". Lineage: Eukaryota; Viridiplantae; Streptophyta; Magnoliopsida; Fabales; Fabaceae. The record is from RNAcentral.